RNAcentral lists this ribosomal RNA (473 nucleotides) under uncultured bacterium. RNAcentral describes it as "bacterial SSU rRNA". It matches the Rfam family "Bacterial small subunit ribosomal RNA", at positions 29 to 496 of the family's 1533-position model. The record is from RNAcentral.
AACGAACGCUGGCGGCGCGCCUAAUACAUGCAAGUCGAGCGAGAAGACGUAGCAAUACGUUUGUAAAGCGGCGAACGGGUGAGGAAUACAUGGGUAACCUACCCUCGAGUGGGGAAUAACUAGCCGAAAGGUUAGCUAAUACCGCGUACGCUCCUUGGACUUCGGUUCAGGGAGGAAAGCGAUACCGUGGGUAUCGCGCUCUUGGAUGGGCUCAUGUCCUAUCAGCUUGUUGGUGAGGAACGGCUCACCAAGGCUUCGACGGGUAGCUGGUCUGAGAGGACGAUCAGCCACACUGGCACUGCGACACGGGCCAGACUCCUACGGGAGGCAGCAGUAAGGAAUAUUGCGCAAUGGGCGAAAGCCUGACGCAGCGACGCCGCGUGGGGGAUGAAGGUCUUCGGAUUGUAAACCCCUUUCGGGAGGGAAGAUGGAACGAGCAAUCGUUCGGACGGUACCUCCAGAAGCAGCCACGG